Molecule: long non-coding RNA, 7008 nt
Filed under: Spirodela polyrhiza (greater duckweed)
Lineage: Eukaryota; Viridiplantae; Streptophyta; Magnoliopsida; Alismatales; Araceae
Description: long non-coding RNA (SPOL_LNC002101)
Source: RNAcentral
UGGAAGUUUAGUAAUUGCUGGAUAAGAAGUGGUGAAGAAGAAACUAACCUUUCUCAGCCUUACUUUCCUCAGUUCACUCUCCACCUUGUCCUCUAACUUUGUGAGCUCAUUUAUAUCGUGUUCAAUCAAUCCAUCAUCAAGAAGCCUGGAAAACGUUGCUGACGUUAGGAAGGAAUGCGCUAAUAUUCGUAUGCUGUUUUGUUGAUGAUUUUACCUUUGGUCUACUUUAAGUCCACGGUUCAUUUCAUGAUCUGCAAAUUCUGCACUCUUACCCUUACAAGAAAAGUGUGUAGUAUUCAUCAGAAACGUUUCAAGGCAGACAAAUUCAAAACUAUGCGCCAAGAAAAGUAACUUUUCUAUAGAUUACCGCACAACAUGGCCCAAUUUGGCUCAAGAUUUCUAACGUGAAUAUCUUCAUGCACGUUCCCUAGUUGCAAGACUAAUGCUAAAAUAAUUGUCUUACAUAUAAUAGAAGCUACAUCAAAUAGAGUCAAAAGCAACAGAUGUAAGACAUCGAUACCAACCAGUUUUAAGUCAACCACUGUCAUAGACACAAAAGAGAAUCAAAUCCGUGCCCCUUUUUUAUGGACCAAUCAAUGUAUGGUUUUAAGUUUGUAUUUAAUUUUCAAAAGUUAACUAGAAAAAGUAACUUAUGGAUAAUCACAUAUCGUUGUCAAACAUAGAACCGAGUAAAUGAUACCUUUCGUAUAAGAACAUUGUUCUUCACUUUUCUUUCUUCGUCUAAAAAUCUGUUACAGCGCUCAAAGGUUUUCUCCAAACUGAAAUUUAAGAACGAGAGAAAUGUAAUGCACCCGUUACAAGCAAAUAGAAUCGGAUUACUUGAUGAAAUAUAAUAUAAUUCAAUGAAUAAACACUAUUUGCAUAAAAAUGAAUUUAUUGUUUGUCAAGAUUUGUGUAUGGAACAGAUAGUAUCAUGUCUAGUUUCAACACAACAUCUUACGUGUCAAAUGAUUCCUUUUCCUCCCGCCUUAAUGAGUUUUGGUUAAAUGAUGUAUGUACGCUAAUUCUACUUUUUAAAAUCUACAUAGUAUAUGGGUUGGAUGACAAUAAGGUUUCUCUCUCUCUCUCUCUCUCGUAUUCUCAUCAUAUCCUAACAAGGACAUGCACUGGAAGAUGUAACAACUGCAUAGUGUGACACUAUGGCUGCCUUAUCGUGCGAUGUACCCCAGAAUUAUCAUGGGGUGAGAGAUGUUGCAUCAACAUCAGGCAAAAAUAGUCCGUCACAAAAAUGAGACCAUCAUGACGGCACCACUAAUCUGAUGACAUUUGUUUAAUGUACGUUGACUCCCUUUGACUGCUAAAUGCCACAGUGUCAAGUGUGCCAUAGAAAGAUGCAUAAUGGGGAAUUUUGGGUUAACUUUGAUCUUAGUUAAAUCUCCAACUUUUGACAUGUUUAAAUCCAACUACUAGUUGAGGAUUUAUUUCGAAAAUUAUACCUAUUUUUCACGCACAAAUAGUUAUGGUGGAAGUUGUUAUAAUAGAAGUGAGCCAUGCAGAAGCCAUGAAGACCGUGACCAUCGUAUGUAACUUCACUCAUUGAGAUUCUAAAUCGUGUAUUGAAAUAGUUUUGAGAGAAGGUUGGAUAGUUUCCAGGGAAAAUGGGCAUGCUUACUUGUAAUUGGACUACACCUACUUCAAAUCUCAAAAAUAACGGUUCUUUCAAUGACCAAUAACAAAUGUUCUAAGCUCUCCAUUCACUUUCGCUCUUACUACAACUCCUUCUCCAAGUACCUAGUAUUUUACGACUUUAAAAUAAAAUUCAUGAAUUGUACAUUUUUAUGACACAUUUCAUGAUAGGAAUUUAGUUAAGAGACAAAAUCUGUACAUAUAAUAAACAAGAAUACUUGAGGAAUGACUUAGUGUGUAUAUCAUGGACAAAAAAUAAGGUAGGUGAGAAACAAAUUCGGCCUUAUUGUUUUCGGUUAUAUUUACUACUCCUAUUGAAGUGAUGGCAUUAAUAUCAUCAAUAAUUUAUUUCUCAGGAGUUUUACUGUUAUUUCUCCACCUUCAUUUCAUUUACUUUUUCAAUUUUUUAGUUGGAUUUAUAUUCAUCAAUCUACAUCAAAUAUUUUCAAAUUAGCCUCUCUUGAUAUCCUCAAAUCAUUAUUCACCUAUCACUGCAAAAAAAAGUAACAGAUAUUCCGCUCAGAAUUUUAAUUUCAUAUUCUUUAUCACUUGUAUCUUGAAUUAUCAAGAAGCUAUGAACUAUUUGACCUAGAUAAAUCCCAUUAAGGACAUGCCAACGAUAUGGAGUUAGGGCACCUGUGAUUGGCUUCUCCACCAUCACUUUGUGCUUCUCUUUUCAAUGAAACAUGAUAAGGUGGCCUUUCGCAUUAAUAUCUAGCCAAGUAUCAUUAACAUAACGUAGAUAUUGUCACCAUAUACCUCAUUUAAUCUACACAAGAAUUGAACCUAUUAAGACUCAUAAAGGGAGAGAGAUAGGCAGAAGAACAUAAUAAGUACUACAAGGUUUUUCCUUCACACAAAUGUUUCCCACUGCAUAGAAGAUCCUCCAUAAAAAUAAUCCCCAAUAGAGGGUUUCCCAAGUAAAAACUUUGAUAUCCAGAUCUCUUUACCCAUAAAAGAGAGGCUUAUGAACUAGUUGACCAAUUUAAUACACCAACUUAAUUAAGAAACUUGUAUCCCUCAAUGAACACGAUCCUUAUGGUUCAAAGCUUACAUUGACAUUUUUGUAACUGAGUUUAGAAGAACUCCAUAGUAAAAAAUUAGUAUGUUAAUGUCAUCAUUCUUUAAUGCCUCCAAUAUUAAUUAAAUGGUUUCCUUGAACGGAGAAUGUUUUACACCAACUAUCCUUUAAGGAGAUAUUUAUUAAUUUAUUUAUUAUAAAGGCCUUGAGCCAAUUAUUAUCAUACCUUUAGCUAGGAAAAUAUCCUACUCUAUCUUUCAAGUUGAACUAAGAAUAACAUCUCAUGCUAUACCGUUAUGUAAAUGCCUAUGAUAAGUAACAAAUCAAUAAUCUGUUAUCAUCAUGGCCCAAAUCCUAGUGUCAUUUUUAUCACAAGUGUAGGUAGCAUCUCCCCAUGAAGAAUGGAAAUUUGAUUUUUUGCACAAUUUUUUGGCAAAGAAAUAAAUAUUUGAUCAGCCAAAAAAGUGUAAAAAGUGAAGCCAAUAUGGUAAAUAUUGAUCCUCACCAUAGUGUGUUAAAACAUUCAUAAACUAUAUAUAUGUAUCCACACGUGGACCGAGUACAUAUCUAACCUUAGUGAGAGAGAAAAAGAGUAAAACAAUGCAAAUUUUGGCCCAUAAAAUCUACUUGAGUAUAAGACCACAUGAACAGACGACUAGUAAUUUGAAGAAGCUGAAAAAAAUAUCUCUGACCACGAAGAAAUAUAUAUGACCUACAUGAAUUGAAAUAUCUAUUACUCCAAAGGCCUCAAUAUCUCAAGCUCAAAAAGUUCACAAGAACUCUAAUCAAUGUUCAAGAAGAUCCUCCAAAUUUUUUCUUACAUCCUCAUAUUACUAAAAGCAGCUUUAUAUUCUUCAUUUUUUAUUUUUUUGUGCAUUCCUCUAUUUUCCUAAAAGGUUCUAGUUAAUACCCAAGGGAAGCAGUAUUAAGUAAAAUAAAUAAAAUAAGGCCUAGGGAUUGCAAUUAAAUUAAGCCACAGAAAAUAGUGAUGUUUUGUGUUGAGAUUACAUAUUUCACACUAAAACCUAACUAUGAUUAUUCAUCCCCAUCUUGUAGGAUUUUAUCUCUCAUUGCCUUAGGCCGAUGAAUAAUGCCUAGCUGAUUGGACAAGACUGGUUAUUUAUUCUCUCAUUGCCUUAGCAUUCAUUAUCGAUGUAUGAGUACAUUUGCAUAUGCCAAGAGGACUGUCAAAAAACUCUGCUUUCAAGGGCCAAAGUACACUCAACUGGGCGUUCUUAAGGAUUAUUCUCUAGAACGAACUACCUCAAAGAAGAGGGUUAUGUUAAAGUGACAUUGACAUGAUCUUAAUGCAACAUACAGAUUACUUGAUGAUAUUGUACCUUUAAAGGAAAUGUAAUAGCAUAAAAAAGAAAACUUAUGCCACAUAAAUUGCUCAAAUAAAGUAUAUAGUCAUGACAUAAAUGAUACCUAAAUUGCUGAAUUGUAAUUUCAAAAAGCGACGAACAUGAAAACUGAACUUUGGGGUCAAAAAAUAUCCUCACAAAUUAUUAUGGAGAUAGACUUUUCAGUAAGAGGCAGAUUCCCACCAUUAUAAAUAGCCAGCUUAAAGUUUCACCCAACGUUCCAAUGGUCUCUACGGCCAAAAGCCCAAGAAGCUUCGGGUAUAAAAAAUUCAAACCAAUAUUAAUUGUUUCACAACUAUACGGAUCCCCAUCCUCAGCCAAAAACAUUAUCUUCAGUAUAAAACUGUUUGAUAAUUUUACGGAUUCCCAUCUUCUUCCGAAAGCAUUAUCUUCACUAUAAAACAGUUUCCACGUUAAACCAAUUUUCAGCCAACAAUCACAAGUAUUAUAGAUGAUUACAUUUUAAAAAUAUGAUAUUGACCCCCGCCCUCUCCUAGUAGUACAUAAAAUUCAAGUAUCGAAACAACCACACAUUGUGAAGAUAAAGGUUUCAUCAUAUUCAUCCUUUAGUCAAUAGAGGGAUGGAAUUUUUUUCUAAAAUGGGGGCAGACAGAUGAUUUUUUUCUAAAGGGAUGAUCUUUUGCGCACAAAAAAUAUUCGCUGCUAAUUAUACUGAGCUAUAUGGCCCCUUGAAUUCAAGAGAGGCUAUUGAGGGAAUAAACAUGAAUUGAUGAGCCAAUUGAGGGGCUGGGAAAAAAAAAUUAUGACUAAUGAAGAAAGACGAAGUAGGAAUUGUCUGGCUUGUUGUCGGGGUAGAUUCCCACUAUUUCAUGACCGAAUAAAAAUGUUAUCACCUACCUGAUCUUUCAUUUUUUUUUAAAAUGUUGGUCAUUUGAGAGUCUCUGAGAUAAGCUUCACGUGUGGAAGAACUAGCCGGGGGACUUUACAAGAAUAUGUGCCAGCCCUUGUUAUACCUUUUUAUUUGGAGAAGUAAUAAGCAAAGAGAAUUUAGCAGAGAAUGGAACUAUCCAAGGGACUAUGCUAUACUGACAUCCAACAUGUCUGGACAGUAAGAUUACUGGGAAAGGAUGUUAAUGUGUUACUUGAGGCAAUGAGGCAUGGUUGUGAUAGAGCUAACUAUUUAUAAGCAUAGAUGAAAUGUUCUGGCCAGAGAGGUGAAGAGUCUCACAACAUAUGACCAGGAAAGGAGUUAGUACGAAUUUUAAACUUUCAAUGCCGCAGGGAGGUGAGAAGUUUCAGCAAUCAAGAAGAUAUAAGGGCUGCGAAGGUGAAGGGUCAAAGGGAGAUGAGGAAUCAGGAGUGCGAAUAAGUUAAGGUAUCCCCCAAACAAAACAGACAAAAAUCGCCCUAAAGCUAUCAAGAUUUUCAUUUAGUUCAUUGAAAAAGGCAAAGCGGAAUGUGGGCAGAAAUAAUAACGUGCUAUUCGAUCCGAGGGUUGAAUGACACCCACUGUAAAAUUCCUUAGUGGGGAUAAAAUACAUCCAGUCUUCGGUCUUUUCAGCUCACUACGAGGAUUUUAUUCAAAAAAGUGACCAGACGGUGCCAUACUGGAAACCAAGAAAUUAUAUGUGAACAUUUACAAACAACAUAUCCGAGUUAUUUUACAGGAUUACUGCCGUUCAGAGAAGGAAUAAUGAAUGGCUAAUAUCUUUUAAAUCUUCGUCAAAGAGAGUAAACUAUGAAUCGAAAGCUAUGCCGAUGCUCAAUGCUCAGUGCUCGCCCCCAUAUUCCGUCCUCUUGCUGGACGUUCAUUCCCUCUCGAGACGCUAGACACCACAGAACAGAUAGUUCAAUACAUCAGUCCACCAGUUCUGCUCCGACCACACCAAACUAAGUUCUCGUGUCCCCAACCGGAAGGGCCUUCUCUUUCCUCUUGAAGAAGAUGGCCCACUGCCAUGGGAGAAUCGAAGACCGGAAAAGGAGGCUAAAUGUGCCGCUAAAUAAAAAAAAGAUGAACAACGGCCAGAAAUGAAGACGGAGGUGUUCGAUGGUAUACGUAUCUAGAAGAAACUUUCUACUUGCUUAAUGCUUGGCUAUCAUAUAGAUGUGUGGGGAAGAACUUUCCCACGUCUCAUCCGACACACAGGUCUGUUCGUCAUCACAGUGAAAGCUUACUUGAACGAGAUAAAGAGAGCUUGGUGAUCCAUCUCAUACGUUGGCAUUUGCUGGUUCCCCGAGCUUCCAUUGUCGGGGCCAAAUAAACGCCAACUAGAAAACACAGUAAGCUCGUAAACGGCCGGAAGGGCACGGGGUGUUGGAAGGGAAGAACCGAUAAAAUAAAGCUCACGGGUCAAAGGGCACGCCCCCAUCUCUCACAAGCGCCGGGUGCAAGAACCUAGACACUGGAAAAGCUUUCGAGAACAAGGCUACAGUAGCUAUUUCAUGGAGAGGGAAAAGAGGAAAAUAGCGAAUGUGCCUUUUCUUCUUUCAUUUGAUUUGGGUCAGAAUGAACACCGCCACAAACGCGUGCGUUCGUCUCUCUAAGGUGCGUCAACCUGGCGAAGCAAAGAAACAGUCAGCGGCUAGAACUCUCUGUGCAUCGUUUAUUUGCUCGCUGUCUCUUCGUGUGCACCUGCGGAGAGAGCAAACGCGUCAACCCCACGACAUUCCGUGCAUCCAUCACGGAAAAUGCCCGUUUCGAGACGCUCCCAAAAUCGACCUUAGUACUCACCGGUUUUAUCUUAUCCGUCCUUAUCCUAGCAAGGGAAAAACACGAAGGAGGCUCUCCACACGCUGCGGCGAAGGUGAAGUGAAUCGCCAUUGGGAGAGACACGGAAGAAGAGAGGAGACACCGCGGCCAGGAGAAAGCGUCCUCACCAGCAAAUCAAAUCCAGACUCGGGGUGACACCGAAACAACUGCACUGGUUUUUCCCUCUUUCCCGUAUUUUUCGAAAUACACGUAAAAUUGUCGCCGAACGAAAACGGAGAACGUCCACCGUGUCGUCGGCUGGGAAC